RNAcentral lists this ribosomal RNA (565 nucleotides) under uncultured Glomeromycotina. Its description in RNAcentral is "SSU rRNA". It matches the Rfam family "Eukaryotic small subunit ribosomal RNA", at positions 548 to 1114 of the family's 1831-position model. The record is from RNAcentral. Lineage: Eukaryota; Fungi; Glomeromycota.
UUGGAGGGCAAGUCUGGUGCCAGCAGCCGCGGUAAUUCCAGCUCCAAUAGCGUAUAUUAAAGUUGUUGCAGUUAAAAAGCUCGUAGUUGAAUUUCGGGGUCAGUAGGUUGGUCAUGCCACUGGUAUGUACUGGCCUCACUGAUUCCUCCUUCCUGAUGAGCCGUAAUGCCAUUAAUUUGGUGUUGCGAGGAAUCUGGACUGUUACUUUGAAAAAAUUAGAGUGUUUAAAGCAGGCUAACGCUUGAAUACAUUAGCAUGGAAUAAUGAAAUAGGACGUUCGAUCUUAUUUUGUUGGUUUCUAAGAUUGACGUAAUGAUUAAUAGGGAUAGUUGGGGGCAUUAGUAUUCAAUUGUCAGAGGUGAAAUUCUUGGAUUUAUUGAAGACUAACUACUGCGAAAGCAUUUGCCAAGGAUGUUUUCAUUAAUCAAGAACGAAAGUUAGGGGAUCGAAGACGAUCAGAUACCGUCGUAGUCUUAACCAUAAACUAUGCCGACUAGGGAUCGGAUGAUGUUAAUUUUUUAAUGACUCAUUCGGCGCCUUACGGGAAACCAAAGUGUUUGGGUUC